Long non-coding RNA from Diabrotica virgifera virgifera (western corn rootworm), 378 nucleotides. RefSeq lists it as uncharacterized. NCBI's taxonomy places the organism in Eukaryota, Metazoa, Arthropoda, Insecta, Coleoptera, Chrysomelidae. The record is from RefSeq and is a predicted model, not a curated record. The transcript is spliced from 2 exons.
AAUGAAGAAUCUUUUAAUUGUACACCACCAGAAAUUGUAGAACUAGCUACAGCAACAGCAUCUACCUUAAUACCUGAAACAUCGAAAUCCAUUUAUAAUAAAACGUACGCAACCUUCAACGAAUGGCGUGUUCGAAGUCAACACAGGUAGCUGAAGGAUACAUUGAUCAGUCUAUGAGAAACAAGGCAACUACAGCAGAUACUAUCGCUAAAGAGAUAAACAGUAAUGUACCAUCUUCUUGUUCUACAGCAAUCGAGAUCCCAAAUAUUUGUAUUAAAAACUCUACUAAAGUUAAUGAUGAUUCUCAACCAAUUCAGUUUAUUAAUUGUACUAUUACUAAUUUUAAUGUUUUUAACAAAUAAAGUUGUUCAUUAAAAA